RNAcentral lists this transfer RNA (62 nucleotides) under Rhinebothrium sp. 3 DJM-2021. RNAcentral describes it as "tRNA-Ala". Lineage: Eukaryota; Metazoa; Platyhelminthes; Cestoda; Rhinebothriidea; Rhinebothriidae. The record is from RNAcentral.
AACGAAAUAGUUUAUUAAGAAUUUUGGGUUUGCGUCUCAUAGGUGGAGUUAUUCUUUCGUUA